This 482-nucleotide ribosomal RNA is filed under the name uncultured bacterium. RNAcentral's name for it is "bacterial SSU rRNA". It matches the Rfam family "Bacterial small subunit ribosomal RNA", at positions 15 to 518 of the family's 1533-position model. The record is from RNAcentral.
GAUUAUGGCUCAGAAUGAACGCUGGCGGCAUGGAUUAGGCAUGCAAGUCGAACGUACUCCCUUCGGGGAGAAAGUGGCGAAAGGGUGAGUAACACGUGAGCAACCUGCCUCCGGAUCCGGAAUAAUCCAGGGAAACUUGGUCUAAAACCGAAUGAAGACAUUGGUCCGCAUGGUCUAAUGUUAAAAUAUUUAUAGUCCGGAGAGGGGCUCGCGGCCCAUUAGCUUGUUGGCGGGGUAAUGGCCCACCAAGGCUACGACGGGUAGGUGGUCUGAGAGGAUGGUCACCCACACUGGGACUGAGACACUGCCCAGACUCCUACGGGAGGCUGCAGUCGAGAAUCUUCCGCAAUGGGCGCCAAGCCUGACGGAGCGAUGCCGCGUGAGGGAUGAAGGCCUUCGGGUUGUAAACCUCUGUCAUCCGGGACGAAAACAAUGACGGUACCGGAAAAGGAAGCCACGGCUAACCACGUGCCAGCCGCCGC